Molecule: long non-coding RNA, 397 nt
Organism: Lutzomyia longipalpis
Lineage: Eukaryota; Metazoa; Arthropoda; Insecta; Diptera; Psychodidae
Exons: 3
Source: RefSeq, a predicted model, not a curated record
UCUCAUCAGUGCUCCUGUGGUCCUUGCCAAGUGCAAAUUGUAGCUCCGCGGUUUUUCAUUCCUUUUCACACAGUGAAAUUUUUUCCUUUUGUGGUCAAGCAACAAGUUAUUGAUUUCUCCAUUUUACAACCCUUCCAAAUUGAUUGGGAAAUUUCAUACUCCAUAUCAAAAGUGAGCUUCAUCUCAUCAGGCGUACAAAAGUAGUGUCAACCGUACUGUGUUAUUUUAUAAUUUUUAAGAGAAACACCAAAGUCUUUAAGAAAAAAAGCAUCGAGAGAUCUCUGGGAUCCCUUAAAUCCUAAUUAAACACCCCACCAUCAUCCCCUACAUUUUGUUUUCUUCAAUAUUAGUGCUAUUGCUGCGGUUGGGUGUGGGCGAAUUUGCGCCCCGCCACAGG